RNAcentral lists this ribosomal RNA (253 nucleotides) under uncultured bacterium. RNAcentral describes it as "partial 16S ribosomal RNA". It matches the Rfam family "Bacterial small subunit ribosomal RNA", at positions 524 to 776 of the family's 1533-position model. The record is from RNAcentral.
UACGAAGGGUGCAAGCGUUACUCGGAAUUACUGGGCGUAAAGCGUGCGUAGGUGGUUUUUUAAGUCCGUUGUGAAAGCCCUGGGCUCAACCUGGGAAUGGCAGUGGAUACUGGAAAGCUAGAGUGCGGUAGAGGGUAGUGGAAUUCCCGGUGUAGCAGUGAAAUGCGUAGAGAUCGGGAGGAACACCAGUGGCGAAGGCGGCUACCUGGACCAGCACUGACGCUGAGGCACGAAAGCGUGGGGAGCAAACAGG